UACGGAGGGGGCUAGCGUUAUUCGGAAUUAUUGGGCGUAAAGGGCGUGUAGGCGGCGUCGUAUGUCCCAUGUGAAAGCCCUCGGCUCAACCGGGGAACUGCACGAGAAACUAUCUGGCUUGAGUGUGGGAGAGGUGAGUGGAAUUCCUGGUGUAGCGGUGAAAUGCGUAGAUAUCAGGAGGAACACCUGUGGCGAAAGCGGCUCACUGGACCACAACUGACGCUGAGGCGCGAAAGCUAGGGGAGCAAACAGG
RNAcentral lists this ribosomal RNA (253 nucleotides) under uncultured bacterium. RNAcentral's name for it is "partial 16S ribosomal RNA". It matches the Rfam family "Bacterial small subunit ribosomal RNA", at positions 524 to 776 of the family's 1533-position model. The record is from RNAcentral.